RNAcentral lists this long non-coding RNA (1920 nucleotides) under Phaseolus vulgaris (common bean). Its description in RNAcentral is "long non-coding RNA (PVUL_LNC002445)". The record is from RNAcentral. Lineage: Eukaryota; Viridiplantae; Streptophyta; Magnoliopsida; Fabales; Fabaceae.
AAGCAAGUUAUGCAGGCAACUGAAAAAACUUCAUUGAUAAAAUAAUUAUUAAAAGUCAAAUACAAAUUAUGCAAAAUAAAACGUUUUGAGAAAUGCCUUCUUUCCUCUCAUUUCUCCCUACGAAUUGACAAUGGCACCUGCAUUAUCUGCGAAAGAGAACCAAUUUGAAUUAGAUACACAUUGAUGGAGAAAAACUUAGAGAGCUAGGUAGUUCAUACAGAACUAAGUUCACUGAACUUCCUCAUGAAUCAUCCAAUUUGACCAAACCGCAAGUUAAUUUUCAUAUAUUUAACAUCCCAGAAAAAAUGGGGUUGCAUCACAUUAGACCAACUACUGGGGGAAAAUGGAAAAAAGGAUUUUGAUUACACCUGUUUCUAGUGAAGAAUCAGUUGUUUCAUUAUUAGAACCUCAUCUCAGUUGUUAUAGACCAAUAUAUUGCAUCCGGUAGCUGCCAUGACACAUACUGAUUCUUCACCAAUUAUCUUUCUCUUUACGUUUUAUUUUGUUACAGAACCAAAUAGCUGGAUAUCUGCAGGAUUAAAAAAACUCCUGCAAGAAAAGGGUGGAAGUAUCAAUGCUCAAAAAGGACACUUUCCAGCCACAUGUCACUUCCAACUCAUACAAUACAAAUGCAGAAACAUUGGAAGCCAGAGGAAGUCACUAGUUUAAGUGCAAUCAGAAAAUCACCGCCAAGAAACAUGCAUACAAGUAUCGGCCACAUGGGUGAACAAGGAACGGAGUUUAAGGAAAACAAAAAUUUAUAAUUGUGUCAAAAUGUUAAAAUUAUUAUGAGAAACCUUAUAUGCUUUGCUUCUGCCACUUGACCCUUAAAAAUCACCCAAACAACAACAAAAAAGAGAGCAAAACACAAUUUGAGUUAAGAAUAAAGGAGGCUCAGAUUCGCCUUUUCUCAGACAGGAGAGGGAAUGGCUAGUGCACAGGCUGCGUCAACAGCAUCUGUGCAAGAACCAGAAGGUAAAUUCCACACAGAUACCGAGUCACCUAGCCAGGACACAGCUCUUCGCUCAUAUCUGGUCUAAUUGCUGAAAACAUAAUCAUUGCCUCGUUAUAGCCAGAAGAAGAAGAAGAAGAAGAACCUGAAUCCAAAAAGAUGCAGAAAGAAAGAGAUGUUUGUGUGUUGUGUGUAUAUGGAGAGCUGUUUGGUAAAUUCAAUUAUAAUGAUCAUUGGCUUACACAGCAACUUAGAGAGGGCAACAGCUAUCAAGACAACCUUCUCUCAAAGAGCGGAGCCUCAUACUUAAACUAAUGACUAAUGAGUACAACCCUAAUUGCAGGGUUUCAGAAAAAAGGCUCAGAUUCAUCUUUACAGAGGAAAGAGACAGAUGGGAGGAGCUCACCCUGGCUGCAUCAUCAGCAUUUGUAUAAAAAGGUCAUGCUUGUCUUCUCAAACAGACACUGAAUUACCUUGCCAGGACUCAAGCUCUUACUAAUGUCCAUUUUCUGAUCUAAAUGAUGAAAACAACAUCACUGCCUCCCUUCUGACCAUUGUCCAGAACAAACAGAAAGUGAGUCAAACAUAAUCUUCCACUGGGUUCUAUAACUGAGGAUGCAACUUCACUUGAAAAUAACGGGAACAAAAACUGGUAUGCAAUUCAAGGCUCAAAAAUGCACAAAAAGAAAAAGCAUGAAAUGGAUAACUGCAUUAAGAGAAUUGAUGAAAAUGUCAUGAGCCCAGGCUUGCAAAGAACAAACCAGAGCCAUGCCUCCUCAGAAAAUUGACUGUCCAAAAACCUCAUCCCUCUCCCAAAUUAGACCAAUGGCGGUUCUAACCAGGGUUCUUAGAAAUAAGUUGUUCUUAUGGGUUUCCACCAUUGGAGCUUGCGACAUGGCUGCCAAUUGUAGAACCAGUUCUGACAGGCUCUAUUUAAAUUUGAUUUUGUUUUUAAACUAAAAUUAUAG